UUUUUUAAAGCAAGUAAGGGCAAACGGUGGAUGCCUUGGGUCUGAGAGGCGAUGAAGGACGUGGUAAGCUGCGAUAAGCUACGGGGAGCUGCACACGAGCGUUAUAUCCGUAGAUUUCCGAAUGGGACAACCCGCUAUGUUGAAGACAUAGCACUUCGAAAGAAGAGCCAACCCGGAGAACUGAAACAUCUAAGUACCCGGAGGAAAAGAAAAUAA
RNAcentral lists this ribosomal RNA (216 nucleotides) under Hymenobacter sp. RNAcentral describes it as "partial 23S ribosomal RNA". It matches the Rfam family "Bacterial large subunit ribosomal RNA", at positions 1 to 228 of the family's 2925-position model. The record is from RNAcentral. Lineage: Bacteria; Pseudomonadati; Bacteroidota; Cytophagia; Cytophagales; Hymenobacteraceae.